This 497-nucleotide ribosomal RNA is filed under the name uncultured bacterium. RNAcentral's name for it is "partial 16S ribosomal RNA". It matches the Rfam family "Bacterial small subunit ribosomal RNA", at positions 28 to 507 of the family's 1533-position model. The record is from RNAcentral.
GAUGAACGCUGGCGGCGUGCCUAAUACAUGCAAGUCGAGCGAACAGACGAGGAGCUUGCUCCUCUGACGUUAGCGGCGGACGGGUGAGUAACACGUGGAUAACCUACCUAUAAGACUGGGAUAACUUCGGGAAACCGGAGCUAAUACCGGAUAAUAUAUUGAACCGCAUGGUUCAAUAGUGAAAGACGGUUUUGCUGUCACUUAUAGAUGGAUCCGCGCCGCAUUAGCUAGUUGGUAAGGUAACGGCUUACCAAGGCAACGAUGCGUAGCCGACCUGAGAGGGUGAUCGGCCACACUGGAACUGAGACACGGUCCAGAGUCCUAAGGGAGGCAGCAGUAGGGAAUCUUCCGCAAUGGGCGAAAGCCUGACGGAGCAACGCCGCGUGAGUGAUGACGGUCUUCGGAUCGUAAAACUCUGUUAUUAGGGAAGAACAAAUGUGUAAGUAACUAUGCACGUCUUGGCGGUACCUAAUCAGAAAGCCACGGCUAACUACGUG